This 512-nucleotide ribosomal RNA is filed under the name uncultured bacterium. RNAcentral describes it as "partial 16S ribosomal RNA". It matches the Rfam family "Bacterial small subunit ribosomal RNA", at positions 28 to 507 of the family's 1533-position model. The record is from RNAcentral.
GAUGAACGCUGGCGGCGUGCCUAAUACAUGCAAGUCGAACGAAACUUCUUUAUCACCGAGUGCUUGCACUCACCGAUAAAGAGUUGAGUGGCGAACGGGUGAGUAACACGUGGGCAACCUGCCCAAAAGAGGGGGAUAACACUUGGAAACAGGUGCUAAUACCGCAUAACCAUAGUUACCGCAUGGUAACUAUGUAAAAGGUGGCUAUACUACCGCUUUUGGAUGGGCCCGCGGCGCAUUAGCUAGUUGGUAGGGUAAAGGCUUACCAAGGCAAUGAUGCGUAGCCGAAGUGAGAGGUUGAUCGGCCACAUUGGGACUGAGACACGGCCCAAACUCCUACGGGAGGCAGCAGUAGGGAAUCUUACACAAUGGGCGAAAGCCUGAUGGAGCAACGCCGCGUGGGUGAAGAAGGUCUUCGGAUCGUAAAACCCUGUUGUUAGAGAAGAAAGUGCGUGAGAGUAACUGUUCACGUUUCGACGGUAUCUAACCAGAAAGCCACGGCUAACUACGUG